UGGGGAAUUUUGGACAAUGGGCGAAAGCCUGAUCCAGCAAUGCCGCGUGUGUGAAGAAGGCCUUCGGGUUGUAAAGCACUUUUGUCCGGAAAGAAAUCCUUGGCUCUAAUACAGUCGGGGGAUGACGGUACCGGAAGAAUAAGCACCGGCCAACUACGUGCCAGCAGCCGCGGUAAUACGUAGGGUGCAAGCGUUAAUCGGAAUUACUGGGCGUAAAGCGUGCGCAGGCGGUUUGCUAAGACCGAUGUGAAAUCCCCGGGCUCAACCUGGGAACUGCAUUGGUGACUGGCAGGCUAGAGUAUGGCAGAGGGGGGUAGAAUUCCACGUGUAGCAGUGAAAUGCGUAGAGAUGUGGAGGAAUACCGAUGGCGAAGGCGAGCCCCCUGGGCCAAUACUGGACGCUCAUGCACGAAAAGCGUGGGGGAGCAAAACAGGAUUAGAUACCCCUGGGUAGUCCACGCCCUAAAACGAUGUCAACUAGUUGUUGGGGAUUCAUUUCCUUAGUAACGUAGCUAACGCGUGAAGUUGACCGCCUGGGGAGUACGGUCGCAAGAUUAAAACUCAAAGGAAUUGACGGGGUC
Molecule: ribosomal RNA, 580 nt
Filed under: uncultured bacterium
Lineage: Bacteria
Description: partial 16S ribosomal RNA
Rfam family: Bacterial small subunit ribosomal RNA
Source: RNAcentral